GGAGGUAAAAGUCGUAACAAGGUUUCCGUAGGUGAACCUGCGGAAGGAUCAUUAACGAGUUAGGGUCUUUUAGGCCCGACCUCCCAACCCUAUGUUUAUUGAACCUCUGUUGCUUCGGCGGACCCGUCUCACGGCCGCCGGAGGACCGCUGCGAGGCGUCCUCUGGCCAGCGUCCGCCGAUGGCCAACCCACUAAACUCUGAAUGAAUCGUGUCAUAUGUCUAAGUCUAUGAUUAAAUUAAAGCAAAACUUUCAACAACGGAUCUCUUGGUUCUG
This 275-nucleotide unclassified non-coding RNA is filed under the name plant metagenome. Its description in RNAcentral is "partial contains small subunit ribosomal RNA, internal transcribed spacer 1, and 5.8S ribosomal RNA". The stretch from base 1 to 54 matches the Rfam family "Eukaryotic small subunit ribosomal RNA", at positions 1778 to 1831 of the family's 1831-position model. The record is from RNAcentral.